Molecule: long non-coding RNA, 1884 nt
Filed under: Sus scrofa (pig)
Lineage: Eukaryota; Metazoa; Chordata; Mammalia; Artiodactyla; Suidae
Description: lncRNA (ENSSSCG00060057122.1)
Source: RNAcentral
UAUGUUGAGGUUCUGGAAGCUUCACAUCAUAGAGCAGGGGCUGGGCACUUUGAGAGUGCAGACACCUGACGAGGGUAAGGACUGUGGGGGUGCUUUGCCAGAAUGACCCAAUUCAUUCUGCUUUGUGGAGAGUUCCAGGGUUGCUGGUCCAAGAUUCCUGUCCACAGCCUCUUACAGGCAUCCCCUGGCACCUGGCAACAGGUGUGUGACUGGGCUUCCUCCCAUCCCCUAGGCUGGACCACACUCCGGCUUGCUGUUGACAGUAGCAGCGAACGCUGCUUCCGGUUAUCGAGCAUCGGCUUUGCUCCGGUGGCUGUGCUAAGCACAUGCAUUAGUACAGUAUCUUUUUUAAUCUUCACAGCAAACCAAUAAGUUAGCUACUGUUACUACCGUCAUUUUACAGAUGAGGAAGGGGAGGGCGAGGGAGCUGACGGGGCUUCGAGUUAGGAAAGGUCACUGAGCUCCUAGCUACCCAGUGUUUGGCCCUUGGCGAGCCCAAGCUUGGGAUCAGGGCACAUGCUGCUUCCUGAUGGUUCCACUGCUCUCUGGGGGCUGGGAUUUUAUUUUAUUUUAUGUUUGCAAUGGAACAGACAUCUCUGGACUGGAGAUACUUCUCGAGACAUGCACACCUGCUGGUCCUUCUAUUCCUUCCUCGCCUGGCUUGCUCUGGGGUCAGUCUCUGCUCUGGACUCUGCCGAGCACCUGGGUCAGGUCCUGAUUCGUGCUUGUCAUGGUUUUUAUUCUUCCAGCCGGAAGUGUCUUAGCUGCCCGAGCCCCUCUGCUCAGCUUUCGUCCAUCUGCAUUUGUCCUGGCCUCCUUCUCUUCGCUCCCGGUCAGCGCAGAUUGGCCCCCGGUCCCCCUGCACGAUCCCAGGGCGCUGCCCAUAACCUGGGCACUCCCCGCCAGAGUGGUGUCUCCUGCCCAGCCCAGGCCUUGAAGCUGUGCUCUUCUGACGAGAAAUAAGGAAGGGGAUUGGCUCCUGAAUUCAUGCAGGGGCUCUGGCCCCACUGUGCAGUUCAGAGGCCCUGCUCACACCUGCACUUCGGUGGAAGAGUGGACCCAGAUUCACUUCCGGGGACGAGGCCACGGGCUCAGGUCUUCUCGGAACCACGCCAUUUGCAGGUACAUUUCACGGCAACGCGUUUUACCCCACAGAUGACCUUUAUUGGUCCCACAGGCGUGAGCCGAGCCCCAGGGUCACAAAUCCCGCAAUCACGAUACUUGAAGGCUCCCCAGAUGGAGAGAAGACAGCUACCAGCUGUAACCGGAGCUGAGGGGAACAGGGGAAGGGGCAGAGCUGGGGAACUGGCUGCCUCCCCAGAAGCCUGGAACCAUCACGCCACAUGAGCAGGCAUCCCGUGGUCUGACACUGAGGCCGCCAGCCGUGACCCCGCCAGCACCAGCGCGAAGCUGGGAAAGAACACAGGCUGCUUCUGCUCCAAGUGAGCUGGAAUCCUGGUUCCUCGCUGGACUGGCUGUGAGAUUUUCAGCACGUUGCUUGACCUCUCUGAGCUUUUUCUGGAACAUGGGGCUCACUCAUAUCCCCUGCCUCCCAGGACGGUCAAAAGCACUCAGUGGGGCAUUGUGUAUAAAGACCUCGCAAAGCACAUAGAAGGCGGAGCUCUUAUUGCUCUGCCCUGCUCCCCCCACCAGAUAAUGAAGAGUCCUGCCAAAGCCUCCGGGGCAUGGGGCGGGGGCAACUGUCGAAUGCCAGGGGCACGCAUUUUAACAAGGAUAGGACAUCAGGAGAAGUCUGGAGUGAGGGACCCAGCAGGAUGAGGGUGGGGCAGGCGUGGGGCGGACUCACCCACACAGAGGAGGAGGGCUGGAAGGAAACAAGGGCAUUAAGAAUAAACAUGACCUUGGCCUAUAGCGAGACCCCCA